AACGAACGCUGGCGGCGUGCUUAACACAUGCAAGUCGAACGAAGCAUUUAGAACAGAUUAUUUCGGUAUGAAGUUCUUUAUGGCUGAGUGGCGGACGGGUGAGUAACGCGUGGGUAACCUGCCUUGUACUGGGGGAUAGCAGCUGGAAACGGCUGGUAAUACCGCAUAAGCGCACAAUGUUGCAUGACAUGGUGUGAAAAACUCCGGUGGUAUAAGAUGGACCCGCGUCUGAUUAGCUAGUUGGUGAGAUAACAGCCCACCAAGGCGACGAUCAGUAGCCGACCUGAGAGGGUGACCGGCCACAUUGGGACUGAGACACGGCCCAGACUCCUACGGGAGGCAGCAGUGGGGAAUAUUGCACAAUGGAGGAAACUCUGAUGCAGCGACGCCGCGUGAGUGAAGAAGUAAUUCGUUAUGUAAAGCUCUAUCAGCAGGGAAGAUAGUGACGGUACCUGACUAAGAAGCUCCGGCUAAAUACGUGCCAGCCGCUGCGGUAA
This 497-nucleotide ribosomal RNA is filed under the name uncultured bacterium. RNAcentral's name for it is "partial 16S ribosomal RNA". It matches the Rfam family "Bacterial small subunit ribosomal RNA", at positions 29 to 523 of the family's 1533-position model. The record is from RNAcentral.